CCAGAGUAUACCGCGCAUGGAGCAACGCGCAUUCCCAUUGACCAGUUUGUAGUUGGAGGAGCUCUGCACUCGGGCAUUUAGUAAUCGUACGACGUCGUUGGGCACACCGUGCGCUCUUUAACGUCAGUCUCGUCACGGUGCUCCGUCUUUGCACGUACCGUAACGUCACAUCAAAAAACGCGUAUCGAACAGGCGAUCAGCUAGUAAACCGUACGAGACGCGAUUGCUUCCAAUUAGAACGCAUUUCUCUUGAAACAAGGUGAUCCUAACCGCGAUCGAAGCGUAAACGAACCCAUUAAGGGGUUUUCAUAUUAAGCGUCUAAAGACAGCGCGAAAGCUGCAACUCUUCUUCAAUACGCGGACCCCGCAGCGGAACUCACGCAGGAAGAGCAUCGUCUCAACUCUUGGCGCCUUUGAGGCGAGUCAUCGCCGAGAGGGUACUUACCUGGACAUUGGAAACCAUCAUUUCCAACCAGCAGGACGAUUAAUUAGGUCGUCUCGGCUAAGAGACGGCGUCGCGAGCGAAACAGGGGGCGACAGAAGGUCACGCCAUGCCGGCAGGUACUGGCGCUUCGUACAGGUCCUUAGGCGACCUGGGCGAAGACGUUUACAAAAGCACAACCAUCGUCGAUCAGACACAGACUACUAGCCAGAGCGUUCUGGAAUCCGUGAAGAAGGCUUUUAGCUUCACCUCACCGAAGGCUGAGACGCGAAAAAAGGACCCGCUGAUCGAGGAUCGUCGCGAAACCGCCUCGAUCGUCUCAAGGGAGAGAAACAGGAUGCCGACAGCAGCCACUGCCGAGGAAUCUGCUCUAUUGGGCACGAUGCCUUCCGACAGCAUGGAUGACAUCGAGCUAAAAAACAUUCAAUUGCAAUUCCCAGCACUGCGAUAUCUCUCCAGAGAUGAUAGCUCUGUACGGGAAGAAAGGGUGGAAACCGACAAGGGAAGUUUGCUGGUAGCGGUGCAAGGAAAUCGAGCGAAACCAGCUAUCCUUACUUAUCACGAUCUAGGCCUUAACUACAUCUCGAGCUUCCAGGCGUUCUUUAAUUAUAUCGAUAUGCGUGUUCUACUCGAAAACUUCUGCGUAUACCAUGUAAACGCACCCGGACAAGAGGAAGGCGCACCAACGCUACCCGAAGAUUUUACUUAUCCGUCCAUGGAAGAGUUGGCCGAACAGCUGCUCUUUGUUCUUGGCCAUUUUGGCAUAAAAUCUGUAAUUGGUUUUGGCGUCGGAGCUGGUGCCAAUAUACUGGCAAGAUUUGCACUCACUCAUCCGGAAAAAGUAAAUGCACUGUGCCUGAUCAACUGCGUGUCUACGCAGGCAGGAUGGAUCGAGUGGGGUUAUCAAAAGUUGAAUGUACGCCACCUGAGAUCGCAAGGCAUGACUCAAGGUGUUCUUGACUACCUGAUGUGGCAUCAUUUUGGCAGGGGGACUGAAGAACGGAAUCACGAUCUGGUUCAAGUGUACAAGAACUAUUUUGAGCGUCGCGUAAAUCCAACGAAUCUCGCGUUGUUUAUCGACAGUUAUGUUCGUCGCACGGAUUUGAAUAUAACUAGAGAAUUGGACCCAACACGCAAGAAGGAAGGAUUGACGCUUAGUGUGCCGGUGAUGAACAUCACGGGUGCGUUAAGCCCUCAUGUUGACGACACUGUAACGUUAAAUGGGCGUUUGGAUCCGACAAACAGCUCCUGGAUGAAAAUAUCGGAUUGCGGUAUGGUAUUGGAAGAACAACCGGGUAAAGUAAGCGAGGCAUUCCGACUGUUUCUUCAGGGCGAAGGAUACGUGGUGAGAUCCCCGCGGAAGCCCGUGAAGCCGACAACACCCGAAGGUAAUUGUAAUUAGGAAUUGAAGGCCGCAAGGAGAGUCGAGCGCGCAGUUGGUCAAUUAGGCCACGUCUAUAUGUUAAUGGCCCCGCUGUCGCCGUUAAAAAUGGCCGAUUUCAGACUGGCAUCAUUGGAAGGACUGAAUCACGUUUGCAGCAAGAAGAUCGACUGGCCUACCGCGACCAUACACAUCACGGAGAAUCCAAUAUCGGAGGCAGUCGUCUGUUAAAUGUUAAUCGUCGAAUUCUACCAACACCCUCGAUUUUCGUUACGUGAUCAAAACGAGCAUAAUCGGACAAUGACGCGAUUCAAUAAAUUAGAAAAUUUCAAGGUUUCGUCGGGCAACGAUCCCUCGCGGCACUAAUCGUUGAUUUUUCUCCGGAGCUUUUUCAUCGGCACACCACGUUUAUUUUAAUCGCGAUUUGCGCUGAAUCGACCACACGCAUUCGUAAUAAAUGUUUAAUUCUAAAUGACUAUAAGUUAAGAGCUUUAAAGAUAGAAUUUAAUACGUAAAAGAUAUCAGAUCUUUUAUCAAUAUACUUGCUCGACAUGCAAUGUUGUAAAGGAACAAUAUUAAGGAUAAAUGAGAGAGUAAUGUUACUGCUGCGUUAUUGGAUAUACUAUAAAUUUUAGUUCUCUGUUUUAAAAAUUUUAGUGAAUGGUGCAAAACGUUUUUUAAAGUCAUCGUUUAUUUUUUACAGCAAAGACAAACUUCUCAAUCGUUUUAAUUACAUUCAUGAUUAUGUUCAUUUUUUAACAUUUAGUUAAAUGAAAAGGUAAUAUUUUUCGUAUGUUUUUUUUAUAAAUCUUUUAAUAUUAUUACAUUUUUACAAUUUUUAAAUAUUCAACUAUUUUAUACACAAUUCUAUACAUAUAUGGGAAUAUAUUAUAUAUUAACAUCAAAACAAAGUUAUAAGCAUGACUUUACAAAUACGUAAUGCGUACUGAUAACACGUUCAUUAAAAAAGUAAAAGAGAGAUUUCCUUCAAUAUUUAAUAUGUGACUCAUAUUUGAGCACUAUCUUCAAAAAAAUGAUACGUUACUGUAUAAUUAUGAAUGAAUUUAUUAAAGAACGUCACAAAAGACUUCCAAAAUGUAAAACAACACAUCAUUGAAGAAGGCGCGUGUUCGUUUUUCAAAUAAAAAAUAAAUAUUGCAAAGGACUGAUAAAACAUUGACAAAUUGCAAAUAACUUUUUAUAAAGUAAAGUCAAAUUCUAUAUUUCCCACAGUGCAUAUGAUAUAUUAAAAAUAUCUUAAAAUCAUCAAAGAUUUUAUUAAAACAUAAUCUACUUUUGUUGUGUUAAAAGUUAAUUUACAAAAGAUUUUUGUUUUAAUUAAAAUAUAAAUUAUAACUCACUUUUUAGAUUACUUUAUCACAGCGUUAAAAGUUACAUUUAAAUUUACUUUUUGUUCAGUUUUAUUAUUUACAUUAAAUCGAUUCAAUAAAGAAUCAGUAAAUCUUGUAAAUUCUAAAUUUAUUAUUUAAAAUUGCAAUAUUUUUUUAUUAUUUUAUACGAAUUAAUUUAUUUAUUAUCAUAUAAGAUUUUUUGAGAUAAAAUGAUAACAAAUAUACAUUGAAAUCGGUAUAAAAUGCCUGAAAUUAUCUGAACGGAUUACAUAUUUUCAAUAAAACUUGCGUACAUAUUCUUAAAUAUAAUAAAAAAAUUAAUGGAGUUUAAAACAAAAGAUUGUUUGCAAUUUUGUAAAAAUUUCUUAAAGAAAAUAAUAGCUCCGCGUUUUAGUGUCUCUAUCACAAUUGUUAUUCUUAAAGGGAGAUGUCUCUGAUAAUCUAGAAUCUCUGUCCCUUUAAACAAGAUAAAAAUUUGUUCGUUUAUUAUUUACACUUGUACGCACCGUUCGCAUCCUUUCUUUAAUUGAUAACAAAAGAGACUGCCCGUAUGAGGAAGAAAAAGAACGCAUGUGAACGAAUGCAUAUAUGUAAGAGUGAUAUAGAAAGAGAGGAUAUACGUAAUUAAUUAACAAGAAAUAAGAAAUACAACAAAUGUCGGGUUCAGUAUUUCUGUGUGGUUUUACCAGGCUUGCUCGAGCCUCUAGCGUGAUAUGAUAAGAUGUGCCUGCUAUAAGAUGUUGUACGUAGCUUUUCAAAGUUUAAUCAUCUUUACUUUUCUACGUGUGUAAUUCAAAUGCGUCCCUCGAAAUUCCUCACUUUUCGUGCGUCUUUUCUCUCGAAGCAUUGCACUUAACAAUCGGCAUAAACAUAUUUUUCAAAAUCAAUUUUAAUCGUUUUUUUUAUUUACUCACACACAUUCAUAAUACAAUAAAAUCGAAUACAUGAAACUUGUUCUACGACUUAAUUACACAUUUUAAAUAAAAAGUAAAUAAAUAAUUGAAAAAUUGCUAACAGUGACAAAACAAGUUUUUGCGACUAAUAGUAUUACUUUAAACAGAUUUUUAUUAAAAAGAAAAUUCGUUAAUUUAUGCGAUUAUACAUUUCUCUGAUUUCACAGCAGGUAACAAUGAUAAAAAAUAAUGCGAGAAUGACGAAGGAAGUCGAAAUAGCGGAUAUCUCGUGGGACAGAAGGUUUAACCUUUUCAUGUGUAAAAGAGAGUUUAUAAAAAUAUAUAAUAAGUGUACACACACGCGUUGUUUAGAUUAUCGCAAAUUAAGAGGCAAUGAUAGCCGAGAACAUAGGAGCAUUAGGAUUGUGGGAAUACAAUAUGAAACAAUUGAGGGAACGCACGCAUUAAACGUUGCUAAUGCGAAUGCUAUAUGAGCAUACAUAUAAUGUAGCUUUUAAGGACUACCGAUGCUCCGCCGUUAAUCCCUUCGUUUCCAGAUUGAAAAGUUUCCUUAUACGGACAUGGCGAUUAUUGGCACAAAUUAUUUGAACGCUCAAGACAACGAAUAAGUUGUGAACUCGUACAUCGACGUAUUGUUGAAUUUAAUUAGACAUAUCGGCCAAGUUCAAUACGCGAUAUCAUUAAAUUGUCCGUCGACUGAUCAAUUUUAAUUCAAAUGUUCGCCCAUGUUAUUCGCAAGACGCAUAUCAGUAUGGUGAAUUUUUAAACAUUUUUCAACAAUAAAAAAUUCUACCGGAUUUGUAUCUACAUUUUAAUCGCAUCAAUGUUACUUGAAAGAAAAUGCGAUAAUGUCGCUGGUUUCGAAGGGUUUAAAAGAUUCAUUCAGUACGCGUGAUCGAGAUCAAUCGAUUUUCAGCAUCCACUUCUACCUCGUGAGAAGAUAACACGAUUUUCCUUUGUCGCACGAUGCGCAAAGUUCGUUUUCGAAUUUUCCACGCGGUAUCGCAAAACAGAUAUUAGCGAAGUGUAUUAAUCACUCAGCAUAAAUGAGACAUAGUACAGGGAAUAAGCGAAAUAAACUUAGACGGAGCUUGAUUACAUAUACAUACAUAUAUAUAUAAAUAUAUUAUACAAGUUAAAUGACACGUGCGCACCGAAUAUAUGCAUCUUGUUAUUUAUAAUAAACGAAUACAAAAUUAAA
RNA transcript from Solenopsis invicta (red fire ant), 5290 nucleotides. It is a transcript of the gene named protein NDRG3, with no coding region annotated. The transcript has 10 exons. Lineage: Eukaryota; Metazoa; Arthropoda; Insecta; Hymenoptera; Formicidae. The record is from RefSeq and is a predicted model, not a curated record.